Vicugna pacos (alpaca) is the source of this 1659-nucleotide non-coding RNA. The record is from RefSeq and is a predicted model, not a curated record. NCBI's taxonomy places the organism in Eukaryota, Metazoa, Chordata, Mammalia, Artiodactyla, Camelidae.
UGCUCAGCUGCAGCCAGGGCUUCGGGAGGCUCUGCCUGGAGGUGCCUGGGGAGCUGUGCAGGGCCAGCUCUGGUAGUUGCCUGGAGGGCACAGCCCUGAGCCCCAACUCCACUACCCCACCCAUCAGCAGAGAAUGAUGUAGGUCGUCUGUUCGUUGCCUACAGAGCCCCCUCCACCACCUGCACUCUGACCCCGUCAUCCAGGAAACCCAAACACAGAGAUCCUAGGCCCUCACUAGGCCCUGGUCUGACUCGAGUAUCCGUUUCCUCCCCUGUGGAGAUCCCUGGACUCACUGAAGAAAGUGGCCGCUAUAGAGUGUGGGUGAGUAGCCCUUGCUGCCUGAGCAGGAAGGAGCAAGCGGACAUGUCAACAGGAAGCCUCGUCAGUUCUGUGGGUAAGCCUGUCGCUUUGUGACUGCAUCAGCCAGUGGUUGCUAGGUUACCUGUCCCACAACUCCAGAACCACUCCCCAGCACCCGUCUCCUCACUCCCACCCAGCUCCUCUUACCCUGCCCGAAGGGGCAGGCAGGGCUCACUGAGGAAUCGCUCACUCUCCCAGCCCCCUCUCUGCUGCCCAUUCAGUGCUUUCAAUGGGGACCAGGGGGUAGAAUGAGAAUCAGGGGCUGGUUUCAGCCAGCGAGCAGCAGGCAGAGGGAGAAAAACUGGCCAAGAAGUUCGGUUGGAUGGGCCCCAGCUCUUUCAGCCAAAUCGGGCUGUCUGCCACCAUGGAGCGGUCUGCCUCCGUGCAUCCUAUUUCUGGGGGUUGCUUGGCAGGGACUGUCUCAUAGAUGGAGAGGAGGAGGCCGCCUACAUGAUCCAAAGCAUCCCUGCAGCGCUGCUCUGCAGGAUAGUUGGGUGGGAGGCCCCUAGGCUUUCAGUUGGGCCAUGAUUUCAGCGGGAUUCUGACACUCCCUACAUGUGCCCCUUGGGUAAGUUGCCUGUACUGCCAGAGACAUGGAACAGUGGUAAGAAUGCUUGGUUCAGAUCAGCUCUACUUCCUACCGGUGCAGCCUCAGACCACUUACAUGAUGUCUCUGAGCCUCAGUUCCCAUGUCUCUGGAAUGGAGAUGAUACUUGCAGUUACUUUCACAGGAUUUUUGAGAAUAAGUGACUUAAUAGACUUGAAAGUGUUUAGAAUAGUGCCUGGCACCAAGUAUGAUCUCUUAUGUUAUUACCUUCUCUGAGCCUGUAAAAUAGGCUACAGUCACCCACUUCUGGGGUUGUUCUAAAGGACAAACGAGCUAAUGGAAGUGAAGCACCUAGUCAUAUGCCUGGCGCACAAGAUGCUCAAAAAUGCUCACUUGGAAGAUUUCCCACAAUGUGACCUGACACAGCCGAGAGUCAAACCCACUCUCACCCUCCCGCUGCGCCUCCCAGCCCUUCCACUGUACUGUUUAGAACUGAGCACCCUCUCUACGUGCAGAUUGCAGCUUUGGGAUUGAAGACAAGAAUAGGCCCUCGAGCUGUGGACCACUUGGCCAAGAGAAUCAUAAACCAGAAACCUCCUGACUCCCGAAACUGCAGUUACAGAAAUGUCACAUGAUAAUUAAUCCCAGCCUCUUGUUCUUCCCUUUUCAAUCAUCUCUAACUCAAAGACCAAAUGGCAUGGGUCUGAGGAUUGUCUUUCACUCCCUUGCCGAUCGCACUACAAUAAACCCUC